CUACGCCUACGGGACGCAGCAGUAGGGAAUCUUCCACAACGGACGAAAGUCUGAUGGAGCAACGCCGCGUGAGUGAAGAAGGGUUUCGGCUCGUAAAGCUCUGUUGGUAGUGAAGAAAGAUAGAGGUAGUAACUGGCCUUUAUUUGACGGUAAUUACUUAGAAAGUCACGGCUAACUACGUGCCAGCAGCCGCGGUAAUACGUAGGUGGCAAGCGUUGUCCGGAUUUAUUGGGCGUAAAG
RNAcentral lists this ribosomal RNA (240 nucleotides) under uncultured bacterium. Its description in RNAcentral is "partial 16S ribosomal RNA". It matches the Rfam family "Bacterial small subunit ribosomal RNA", at positions 333 to 565 of the family's 1533-position model. The record is from RNAcentral.